GACGAACGCUGGCGGCGUGCUUAACACAUGCAAGUCGAGCGGUAAGGCCCUUUCGGGGGUACGACGAGCGGCGAACGGGUGAGUAACACGUGGGUGACCUGCCCUCAGCUCUGGGAUAAGCCUGGGAAACCGGGUCUAAUACCGGAUAUGACUCCAUGACGCAUGUUGUGGGGUGGAAAGCCUUGUGCGGCUGAGGAUGGGCCCGCGGCCUAUCAGCUUGUUGGUGGGGUGANGGCCUACCAAGGCGACGACGGGUAGCCGGCCUGAGAGGGCACCGGCCACACUGGGACUGAGACACGGCCCAGACUCCUACGGGAGGCAGC
RNAcentral lists this ribosomal RNA (323 nucleotides) under uncultured bacterium. RNAcentral's name for it is "bacterial SSU rRNA". It matches the Rfam family "Bacterial small subunit ribosomal RNA", at positions 28 to 352 of the family's 1533-position model. The record is from RNAcentral.